RNAcentral lists this ribosomal RNA (433 nucleotides) under uncultured bacterium. RNAcentral describes it as "partial 16S ribosomal RNA". It matches the Rfam family "Bacterial small subunit ribosomal RNA", at positions 29 to 507 of the family's 1533-position model. The record is from RNAcentral.
AACGAACGCUGGCGGCAUGCCUAACACAUGCAAGUCGAACGAGACCUUCGGGUCUAGUGGCGCACGGGUGCGUAACGCGUGGGAAUCUACCCUCAGGUUCGGAAUAACUCAGAGAAAUUUGAGCUAAUACCGGAUGAUGACGUAAGUCCAAAGAUUUAUCGCCUGAGGAUGAGCCCGCGUAGGAUUAGGUAGUUGGUGAGGUAAAGGCUCACCAAGCCGACGAUCCUUAGCUGGUCUGAGAGGAUGAUCAGCCACACUGGGACUGAGACACGGCCCAGACUCCUACGGGAGGCAGCAGUGGGGAAUAUUGGACAAUGGGCGAAAGCCUGAUCCAGCAAUGCCGCGUGAAUGAUGAAGGCCUUAGGGUUGUAAAGCUCUUUUACCCGGGAUGAUAAUGACAGUACCGGGAGAAUAAGCUCCGGCUAACUCCGUG